GACGAACGCUGGCGGCGUGCCUAAUACAUGCGAGUCGAGCGGACUGAUUAAGAGCUUGCUCUUAUGACGUUAGCGGCGGACGGGUGAGUAACACGUGGGCAACCUGCCCUGUAGAUCGGGAUAACACCGAGAAGUCGGUGCUAAUACCGGGUAAUAUCUGAGAUCACAUGAUCUUAGGUUAAAAGAUGGCUCCGGCUAUCACUACAGGAUGGGCCCGCGGCGCAUUAGCUAGUUGGUAAGGUAAUGGCUUACCAAGGCGACGAUGCGUAGCCGACCUGAGAGGGUGAUCGGCCACACUGGGACUGAGACACGGCCCAGACUCCUACGGGAGGCAGCAGUAGGGAAUCUUCCGCAAUGGACGAAAGUCUGACGGAGCAACGCCGCGUGAGUGAUGAAGGGGUUCGGCUCGUAAAGCUCUGUUGUUAGGGAAGAAACAGUACCGAACGAACUAGGUCGGUACCUUGACGGUACCUAACCAGAAAGCCACGGCUAACUACGUG
This 500-nucleotide ribosomal RNA is filed under the name uncultured bacterium. RNAcentral's name for it is "partial 16S ribosomal RNA". It matches the Rfam family "Bacterial small subunit ribosomal RNA", at positions 28 to 507 of the family's 1533-position model. The record is from RNAcentral.